UGGAUGGCUCGGUUGGUUAGAUCGUGGUGCUGAUAACAUCAAGGUUGCAGGUUUGAUCCCCUGAUGGGACAA
This 72-nucleotide transfer RNA is filed under the name Podarcis lilfordi (Lilford's wall lizard). Its description in RNAcentral is "tRNA.Ile". The record is from RNAcentral. Lineage: Eukaryota; Metazoa; Chordata; Lepidosauria; Squamata; Lacertidae.